This 913-nucleotide ribosomal RNA is filed under the name uncultured bacterium. RNAcentral describes it as "bacterial SSU rRNA". It matches the Rfam family "Bacterial small subunit ribosomal RNA", at positions 88 to 984 of the family's 1533-position model. The record is from RNAcentral.
GAGUAGAGUGGCGCACGGGUGAGUAACACGUAGGUAAUCUACCUUCGGGUGGGGAAUAACAACCGGAAACGGUUGCUAAUACCGCAUAAUGCAGCGUCACCUAAUGGUGACAGUUGUUAAAGCGGGGGAUCGCAAGAUCUCGCGCCUGAAGAGGAGCCUGCGGCGGAUUAGCUAGUUGGUAGGGUAAUGGCCUACCAAGGCGACGAUCCGUAGCCGGCCUGAGAGGGCGGUCGGCCACACUGACACUGACAUACGGGUCAGACUCCUACGGGAGGCAGCAGUGAGGAAUAUUGGUCAAUGGGCGCAAGCCUGAACCAGCCAUCCCGCGUGCAGGAAGACGGCCCUAUGGGUUGUAAACUGCUUUUCCAGGGGGAGAAACUUGCGUACGCGUUGCGCAAUUGACGGUACCCUGGGAAUAAGCAUCGGCUAACUCCGUGCCAGCAGCCGCGGUAAUACGGAGGAUGCAAGCGUUAUCCGGAUUCAUUGGGUUUAAAGGGUGCGUAGGCGGACUAUUAAGUCAGUGGUGAAAUCCUGCAGCUUAACUGCAGAACUGCCAUUGAUACUGAUAGCCUUGAGUUUGGUUAAGGUAGGCGGAAUGUGUAAUGUAGCGGUGAAAUGCUUAGAUAUUACACAGAACACCAAUUGCGUAGGCAGCUUACUGAGCCGACACUGACGCUGAGGCACGAAAGCGUGGGGAUCGAACAGGAUUAGAUACCCUGGUAGUCCACGCCGUAAACGAUGAUUACUCGCUGUUGGCGAUACACUGUCAGCGGCUAAGCAAAAGCAAUAAGUAAUCCACCUGGGGAGUACGGCCGCAAGGUUGAAACUCAAAGGAAUUGACGGGGGGCCCGCACAAGCGGAGGAACAUGUGGGUUUAAUUCGAUGAUACGCGAGGAACCUUACCUGGGCUUAA